AGAGUUUGAUCCUGGCUCAGGAUGAACGCUAGCUACAGGCUUAACACAUGCAAGUCGAGGGGCAUCAUUAUCGAAGCUUGCUUUGAUAGAUGGCGACCGGCGCACGGGUGAGUAACGCGUAUCCAACCUUCCCCUUAGUAGAGGAUAGCCCGGCGAAAGUCGGAUUAAUACUCUAUGUUGUAUUUUGAGGACAUCUGACGAAUACCAAAGAUUUAUCGCUAAGGGAUGGGGAUGCGUCUGAUUAGCUUGUCGGCGGGGUAACGGCCCACCGAGGCGACGAUCAGUAGGGGUUCUGAGAGGAAGGUCCCCCACAUUGGUACUGAGACACGGUCCAAACUCCUACGGGAGGCAGCAGUGAGGAAUAUUGGUCAAUGGGCGUAGGCCUGAACCAGCCAAGUAGCGUGCAGGAAGACUGCCCUAUGGGUUGUAAACUGCUUUUAUGCGGGAAUAAAGUCAGGUACGUGUACCUGUUUGCAUGUACCGCAUGAAUAAGGACCGGCUAAUUCCGUGCCAGCAGCCGCGGUAAUACGGAAGGUCCGGGCGUUAUCCGGAUUUAUUGGGUUUAAAGGGAGCGCAGGCGGAGGAUUAAGCGUGACGUGAAAUGUCCCGGCUCAACCGUGGAACUGCGUCGCGAACUGGUUUUCUUGAGUGAGUGCGACGUCGGCGGAAUUCGUGGUGUAGCGGUGAAAUGCUUAGAUAUCACGAAGAACCCCGAUUGCGAAGGCAGCCGACGAGUCCUUAACUGACGCUAAAGCUCGAAAGUGCGGGUAUCGAACAGGAUUAGAUACCCUGGUAGUCCGCACGGUAAACGAUGGAUGCCCGCUGUCUGCGAUACACUGUAGGCGGCCACAGAGAAAUCGUUAAGCAUCCCACCUGGGGAGACCCCGACGGCGG
This 894-nucleotide ribosomal RNA is filed under the name uncultured bacterium. RNAcentral's name for it is "bacterial SSU rRNA". It matches the Rfam family "Bacterial small subunit ribosomal RNA", at positions 8 to 894 of the family's 1533-position model. The record is from RNAcentral.